RNAcentral lists this ribosomal RNA (426 nucleotides) under uncultured bacterium. RNAcentral's name for it is "bacterial SSU rRNA". It matches the Rfam family "Bacterial small subunit ribosomal RNA", at positions 355 to 773 of the family's 1533-position model. The record is from RNAcentral.
UGGGGAAUAUUGGACAAUGGGCGCAAGCCUGAUCCAGCAAUGCCGCGUGAGUGAUGAAGGCCUUAGGGUUGUAAAGCUCUUUUGUCCGGCACGAAACGGUUGAGGCUAAUACUCUCGACUACUUACGGUACCGGAAGAAUAAGCACCGGCUAACUACGUGCCAGCAGCCGCGGUAAGACGUAGGGGGCGAGCGUUGUCCGGAAUUACUGGGCGUAAAGCGCGUGCAGGCGGCUUUGUAAGUCCCGUGUGAAAGCCUACGGCUCAACUGUAGGAGGCCGCGGGAUACUGCGAGGCUUGAGGGCAGGAGAGGGAAGUAGAAUUCCCGGUGUAGCGGUGAAAUGCGUAGAUAUCGGGAGGAAUGCCAGUGGCGAAGGCGGCUUCCUGGCCUGCCCCUGACGCUGAGACGCGAAAGCUGGGGGAGCGAAC